This 475-nucleotide ribosomal RNA is filed under the name Mucilaginibacter sp. RNAcentral describes it as "bacterial SSU rRNA". It matches the Rfam family "Bacterial small subunit ribosomal RNA", at positions 1 to 492 of the family's 1533-position model. Lineage: Bacteria; Pseudomonadati; Bacteroidota; Sphingobacteriia; Sphingobacteriales; Sphingobacteriaceae. The record is from RNAcentral.
ACAAUGGAGAGUUUGAUCCUGGCUCAGGAUGAACGCUAGCGGCAGGCCUAAUACAUGCAAGUCGGACGGGAUUGAGGAGCUUGCUUCUCAUGAGAGUGGCGCACGGGUGCGUAACACGUAUGUAACCUACCUUAGUCAGGGGGAUAGCCUCUCGAAAGAGAGAUUAACACCGCAUAACAUUAUGAUAUGGCAUCAUAUUAUAAUCAAAUAUUUAUAGGACUAAGAUGGGCAUGCGGAACAUUAGCUAGUUGGUAAGGUAACGGCUUACCAAGGCUUUGACGGGUAGGUGGUCUGAGAGGAUGGUCACCCACACUGGGACUGAGACACUGCCCAGACUCCUGCGGGAGGCUGCAGUCGAGAAUCUUCCGCAAUGCGCGAAAGCGUGACGGAGCAAUGCCGCGUGAGGGAUGAAGGCUUUCGGGUCGUAAACCUCUGUCAGAAGGGAAAAAUUAUGAUUGUACCUUCAGAGGAAGCC